RNAcentral lists this unclassified non-coding RNA (235 nucleotides) under uncultured Gemmatimonadaceae bacterium. RNAcentral describes it as "contains 16S-23S intergenic spacer region". Lineage: Bacteria; Pseudomonadati; Gemmatimonadota; Gemmatimonadia; Gemmatimonadales; Gemmatimonadaceae. The record is from RNAcentral.
UCCCCGUUAUCCUGGUUUCUCAGGAGUUUCCCAUGCAUGUCAAGCCUAGGUAAGGUUCUUCGCGUUGCGUCGAAUUAAACCACAUGCUCCACCGCUUGUGCGGGCCCCCGUCAAUUCCUUUGAGUUUCAGCCUUGCGGCCGUACUCCCCAGGCGGGGUACUUCCUGCGUUAGCGCCGGCACCCAAGGGGUCGCUCCCCCAGGCACCUAGUACCCAUCGUUUACGGCGUGGACUAC